UAUGCUCACUUUAGAUUAUUUUAGGAUGGAUGAAUAGGAAAUUGGUUUGUUUUUCAUAUCAAAUUGGAUUUUGACCUGCUUUUGUUUGUCUGCAUAGGGCUUCUUACACAUUGAUGAAUACCCUCUAGAUGUUAAUCAAGGAUUUGACAUUCCAUCAGCAAUAAUAAGCUUUCCUGACUUCCAUGCUGGUUUGCAAUUGUCUAAUAAAUCUCGAAGCAAGUCACCACUGUUGUCUAAGUUACAGGAAAAAAGUCUUCUUCUCUCUUACACAGAACUUUUACUUGUACCCUUGAUGACUCCUGAUUUCAGUAUGCCAUACAAUGUCAUCACAAUUUCAUGUACAGUUUUUGCUUUGUAUUUUGGAUCAUUGCUAAAUGUUCUCCGGAGAGGAGGAAAGACUUUUGAAAAACAAAGAUGCAAACAAAGUAGUGUUCCUUCACUGAGUGCUAUCUAAACUAUAUCUGCCAAGCUUAGAGGCAGACCGUUGGAAUCAAGUCUGCCCUCUCCCUCGUCAUCAUUCUUUGUUAGUCCAAAAUUGAUUCUUAGAGUACUACUGGUUGCAGGAAUUUGCCGUUACAUGGCAAUACUAUUCACAAUGAUAUCUUUCAACUAAGUAGUUUUACUUGUACUAUAGUCUAAUUGCAUGUAUUUUCAUGUACAAUACAAACCUUCCACUGCCCAAUGUGCCUUUACUUUCUGUUAAUAUAUCAUCUUGGUAUUCUUAUUCCACUUUUUAUAGUGGGCUCAUGAUAUUAGCUUUCUAAUUUAUGUAUGCAUGGUUUAAAACUGUUUUUCAGGAUGGUAGCACAACACUGUGAAGAGUUGAUUUAGUUAAGAGGAGCUUACUAUCAUAGAAGCUGAAUAUCCAAUGACUGAAAGUGAGUACGUAAGCCUAAUUGGCCUUCUAAAAUCAAGCACUUGCUCAGUCCUUCGAAUACUAGAGUACAAAGUAUGCUUAUUCUCUAGCUUUCCUUGAAUUUUCUUUAUUUUGUACAAGUAUACAGUUUUUCCUGUCUACUAGUUUAUAGUUUGAUAUUUAAAAUACUCUCAGUUUCCUUGGAUUUUCUUUAUUUUGUACAAACUUCCUGUAACAAGCUCUGUUUGGGAAAAUUUAUGCAAGUUUUCAAAAUAAAGGGGGGUUUUGUGAAGUAAUGGCAUAAAUUCAAGGGAGUUGGGACUUAGGAGUAAACUAUGAGUAAUUUGUAGAAAUUAGUUUUAGAGCAUUCUAAUAUAAAACCUUUCUUAUUAGCAUGUAAAUGUCCAGGUCCUUUUAACAUACAACAUUUGCUGGUUUGUGUUAGAAGUCUUUGUAUCACUUAUGUUUUUUAUUUUCAUUUUACUAACUUAACAGGAAGCCAAAAUCAUAUAUCUUUAAUUAUGGAGGCUUUUGGAGACAGUUUUGAAUCUCCACUAGCACAUUUCUUCCUUCAUCUUUUCUUUAUAUUUUUCCUCUUUCCUUUUUUCUCUCAAGUUUCUCAAUUUUUUUUCCUUUUCGACUUCUUCAGCAUACAUCUUGUCUCUGCCCCCUCUUCUCUAUGCCAACAUGUUAUGUGCUAGGUGAAGAAACAACCUUUCCUUCAACUCUUGUAUUUCACAUAUAUUUGGCACAGGAUACAAUCAUACAACUUCUCCUGUGGAUAUUGUGCCUUUUUUUUCCAGCAGGUUUAAAGAUACCCCAUCUAUACAAUUGGAAUAUCGAACACCUCUAGUUGAGCAUUCUAAUCUUUGCAGUGAAAUACUGGUAAAAAUUGUUUUUAUUCAUAAAUUUCUACUCAAUUUGGUUGCUCAGUUCACAUUUUAUGAAGUGAUAAU
Glycine soja is the source of this 1812-nucleotide long non-coding RNA. RefSeq lists it as uncharacterized. Lineage: Eukaryota; Viridiplantae; Streptophyta; Magnoliopsida; Fabales; Fabaceae. The transcript is spliced from 3 exons. The record is from RefSeq and is a predicted model, not a curated record.